Molecule: long non-coding RNA, 493 nt
Organism: Bos indicus x Bos taurus (hybrid cattle)
Lineage: Eukaryota; Metazoa; Chordata; Mammalia; Artiodactyla; Bovidae
Source: Ensembl
UGCUCAGAUUCACAUUCUGAGUCAUCUCAAUGGCAUUUACCCUAUGGCAGGCCAGGUCUCUUGCUGUUUUGUUUUAGAAUGACUGGUUUCCAUAGGGUUUUUCUCCCUCCCUCUUGAGUAUUGGAAGCUCUCAAGUUCUUCGAAGAACCAGUUCAUGACUUCUCAACUGGAUGCUGAGCAGAAGAAACACUCACCUCUCCAUGGACCUAAUCCAAACUGUGAAUCUUUGUUUUUCCUGGACCAAACUAAAGUGAACUUCAUUCCUGUCUGAUCUUUCCCCAUCUUCAAAAGUGGAAGCACUGGAAGCUCCUUUGUUCAAGGUAAGUGAACCAGAUAUCUGCACUGAAUAUUUGUUUCUUUUAUAUUUUAAUUGAUACAGACAUAGAUGGUCUUCUUAUGAGAUUGCAUACAAAACAAUGUUCAAAAUAAGCAUAGAUUCAUAGCUAAGAUUCAGAGAAGGAACUGAAAAUACAUGACUGAUGUUUAAACUCUG